RNAcentral lists this ribosomal RNA (253 nucleotides) under uncultured bacterium. RNAcentral describes it as "partial 16S ribosomal RNA". It matches the Rfam family "Bacterial small subunit ribosomal RNA", at positions 524 to 776 of the family's 1533-position model. The record is from RNAcentral.
UAGGUAGGGUGCAAGCGUUGUCCGGAUUUAUUGGGUUUAAAGGGUGCGUAGGUGGCUGAUUAAGUCAUGGGUGAAAGCCCGCAGCUCAACUGUGGAAUUGCCUGUGAUACUGAUUAGCUUGAGUGCGGUUGAGGCAGCUGGAAUUGGUGGUGUAGCGGUGAAAUGCAUAGAUACCACCAGGAACACCGAUUGCGAAGGCAGGUUGCUAAGCCGUAACUGACACUGAGGCACGACAGCGUGGGGAGCAAACAGG